AAACUAACAAGGAUUCCCCUAGUAACUGCGAGUGAAGCGGGAAAAGCUCAAAUUUAAAAUCUGGCGGUCUAUGGCCGUCCGAGUUGUAAUCUGGAGAAGCGUUUUCCGUGCCGGACCGUGUACAAGUCUCUUGGAACAGAGCGUCAUAGAGGGUGAGAAUCCCGUCCAUGACACGGACUCCCGGUGCUUUGUGAUACGCUCUCGAAGAGUCGAGUUGUUUGGGAAUGCAGCUCAAAAUGGGUGGUAAAUUCCAUCUAAAGCUAAAUAUUGGCGAGAGACCGAUAGCGAACAAGUACCGUGAGGGAAAGAUGAAAAGCACUUUGGAAAGAGAGUUAAACAGUACGUGAAAUUGUUGAAAGGGAAACGCUUGAAGUCAGUCGCGUCGUCCGGGACUCAGCCUAGCUUCUUUGCUCGGUGUACUUCCCGUUCGACGGGUCAACGUCGAUUUUGACCGGCGGAUAAUGGCUUGGGGAACGUGGCACCUUCGGGUGUGUUAUAGCCCCUGGUCGCAUACGUCGGUUGGGAUCGAGGACCGCAGCGCGCCUUUUAGGCCGGGGGUUCGCCCCACGUAACGCGCUUAGGAU
This 584-nucleotide ribosomal RNA is filed under the name Alutaceodontia alutacea. RNAcentral's name for it is "partial 28S ribosomal RNA". It matches the Rfam family "Eukaryotic large subunit ribosomal RNA", at positions 62 to 613 of the family's 3401-position model. Lineage: Eukaryota; Fungi; Basidiomycota; Agaricomycetes; Hymenochaetales; Schizoporaceae. The record is from RNAcentral.